Molecule: ribosomal RNA, 231 nt
Filed under: uncultured bacterium
Lineage: Bacteria
Description: partial 16S ribosomal RNA
Rfam family: Bacterial small subunit ribosomal RNA
Source: RNAcentral
CGGGUGAGUAACGCGUGAGGAACCUGCCUCAAAGAGGGGGACAACAGUUGGAAACGAUUGCUAAUACCGCAUAAGCGCACAGUACCACAUGGUACAGUGUGAAAAACUCCGGUGGUAUGAGAUGGACCCGCGUCUGAUUAGCUAGUUGGUGAGGUAACGGCCCACCAAGGCAACGAUCAGUAGCCGACCUGAGAGGGUGACCGGCCACAUUGGGACUGAGACACGGCCCAG